GUGCAGGAGUAAAGUUUCUUUUGGUCUAAUAAGGUUAAUAUGAGAUUGAAGUUCGACUUUUGAAUGAAGUGUUCUUGUCCUUCUUUGGAUGAAAUAAGUAAUGAAAUGUUAAGAUGGACAGAGAUGGGGCACCUAUUUGAUUUUCUUCACAGUUCUGGCUUUGGCUUGGACAUGAAGUUGGUUAUAUUUGGACAUUUUCAUUGGUAGAAGGUAGAGUAUUAAAAGUUUUUGAAGGAUUAGUGGAGAAACUUGUAAGCCUAAUAUGUGUAUUUAAAGGAACCAAGAAAAGAGGCCUAAUAGGUUGCCAUCUUUUGAAGAAAGGAUUAUCAAAUUGGAUCAAGUGUUGAAGCAGUAGGAAAGGAGGAAAAGAGAAAGUGGAAAGGGGGAAAUAUUGAAGUAAGAAAGUAGAAGAAGAAAAUACCAAAAUUGAAGAUAGGAAAAAAACAUGAAAAGUGAGAAGGCUGUGAUGAUUAUUGAUUUAGCUUUUAGAAGAGUUCGUACCAAAAAGUUUGUAUUACCCAUCAUUACCUAGAGCCGGACUAGGGUAUGAUGGGAAAUAAAUACUUUUUGGUAGCAUUCGCUCCUAAAAACUAAGCCAAUAAUCAUCACCGCUUUUAUCAAAUUUCUUGUUUUUUUCUUGUAUUUUAAUUUGGUAUUUUCUUUUUCUACUUUCUUACUUUGACUAACGGUGAGAUUAGCCUAAUGGAUUAAAUUUUUAUUUAAGGGAUGGGGUGAGUGCUCAUAUCUCUUUGCCAUUGUUUUGAGAAAUGAUUAUCAACUUGAAUUAGUGUUGAAAUAGUGCACUAAGAGUCAGAUUAGCCAAUUGGAUCAAGGUUUUAUUUAUAAGCUCUAUGGUGAUUUUUCGUUGAUAUGAAUAUAGCGAAAAGUCAUUUGGCUAAUGAAAUGAUAUUGAAAAAAGACAACAUGGAGGGACUAUAGACGACACAAAAAGAAAAGUUAGAAUAUAAGGAGGCUGGCUGUUAAGAAGAAAUCUGACUCAACGAGGUUUGAAAAUCUAAUAUUUCCUCAUUAUUAGGUAAUCUUCUGAAACAGAUGGACCAAGAGUUGGUUGAAGAGUCCUAGUGAUCUAAAACAGUUAUGGUUUUGAGGGAUCCACAAGAUUUUUUUAUAAAUGCAAGAGAAACUCAUUUUCCUAAAGGGAGUAAUUGGACAGAUCUUGGAAGGGGUUUUGAGAGAAUUAUAAACAAAGAAGGAAGACAUUAGAAUAAAAGUUAUUUGGGUAGUUGGACCCAAAGAAGUAUAAAAUUGGAUGGAGAGUUGUGAACAAGGAAAAGCUUUGAUGUUUUUUGGAUUUGGCAACAACUUGCCACCAUGUUUAUACGACAAGAUAAUGUUAGAGAUUGCAAAAUGAAAAAGGGUAGAGAAGAAACAUGGAGUGCGGUGGAUGAUGGAGUAAUUCAUCAAAAAAACUUUCAAGUAAGUGAAACUCUAAAAUAAAUAGUUUUUGGGUUAAUUGGUGCAAGAGAAAGGUCCUAUUGGUCUAAUAAGGUAGACUAGUAUGAGAUUGAACUUCAAUUUUUGAAAGAAUAGUUAUUGGCUUUCUUUGGAUGAAAUAAGUUUUGAAAUGUUAAGAUGGACAGAGAUAAGGCAUCCGUUUGGUUUUCGCAGUUGUGGCUUUCGCUUGGACAUGAAGUUUGUUAUAUUUGGAGAUUCAUUGGCACAAGGUUUUGAGUAUUAAAAGUUUUAAAGGAUUAGUGGAGAAGCGUAUAAGCCUAAUAGGUGUAUUUAAAGGAACCUAGAAAAAGAGGUAUGAAGGUUUUUAAUUAAAAGAAGUACUUGAAUGAAAGUUCUUUGGGUAAUUGGCGCUAAUUCAAAGUUCAAUUCUGUUGGUUAUAAGUUAGAUAACGGGCAAUCUUAUGGAAUUGCUGAGUUUAUUAGGUAUUGAAGAAGGCAAAGAGAUAAGUUUGUAUAAGGCCAUGGUUAUCCGUAAGGAGAUGGGAAGAUAAGUGUGAAUAAAGGAGUUUCAUACUAAAGUAUCAAAUUUUGGACUUCCAAGUUUUUGAUAGAAUUCUUGCCAUUUUUGUGAAGAAAGAUUAGCAAAUUCACUAAAGUGCUAAUAUAAUGGACAAACUAAGAUACUUUAUUUCAGUAGCUGACAAUUUGACCGUGGAAAUUGAUCUAAGUCCAAACAUUAACAGUAUAGUAUAUAAUUAAAAAUGAAAUGGUCAAAUGUGAGAUUCGUUGGUAUAUGGUUUCUAGGGUUCUACAAGAUUGUCUGACAAAAUGCAAGAGAAACUCAUUUUCUGAAAAGGAGUAAUUGGACCGAUCAUGAAAAGAGUUUUCAGAUCAUUCUAAACAAAGAAAGGAGACAUUAGAAUAAAAG
This 2344-nucleotide long non-coding RNA is filed under the name Cucumis sativus (cucumber). Its description in RNAcentral is "long non-coding RNA (CSAT_LNC003138)". The record is from RNAcentral. Lineage: Eukaryota; Viridiplantae; Streptophyta; Magnoliopsida; Cucurbitales; Cucurbitaceae.